GCCUUCGUGGUGUAGUUAGCGGUCAGCACGCUCGACGUGUAUUCGAGAGGUCCGUGGUUCGAGUCCCCGCGAGGGCA
Molecule: non-coding RNA, 77 nt
Organism: Stegodyphus dumicola
Lineage: Eukaryota; Metazoa; Arthropoda; Arachnida; Araneae; Eresidae
Source: the annotation of a RefSeq genome assembly